Molecule: ribosomal RNA, 468 nt
Filed under: uncultured bacterium
Lineage: Bacteria
Description: partial 16S ribosomal RNA
Rfam family: Bacterial small subunit ribosomal RNA
Source: RNAcentral
GACGAACGCUGGCGGCGUGCUUAACACAUGCAAGUCGAACGGAAAGGCCCUGCUUUUGUGGGGUGCUCGAGUGGCGAACGGGUGAGUAACACGUGAGUAACCUGCCCUUGACUUUGGGAUAACUUCAGGAAACUGGGGCUAAUACCGGAUAGGAGCUCCUGCUGCAUGGUGGGGGUUGGAAAGUUUCGGCGGUUGGGGAUGGACUCGGGGCUUAUCAGCUUGUUGGUGGGGUAGUGGCUUACCAAGGCUUUGACGGGUAGCCGGCCUGAGAGGGUGAACGGGCACAUUGGGACGGAGAUACGGCCCAGACUCCUACGGGAGGCAGCAGUGGGGAAUAUUGCACAAUGGGCGGAAGCCUGAUGCAGCAACGCCGCGUGCGGGAUGACGGCCUUCGGGUUGUAAACCGCUUUCGCCUGUGACGAAGCGUGAGUGACGGUAAUGGGUAAAGAAGCACCGGCUAACUACGUG